This 1762-nucleotide ribosomal RNA is filed under the name Salmonella enterica subsp. enterica serovar Stanley. RNAcentral describes it as "partial 23S ribosomal RNA". It matches the Rfam family "Bacterial large subunit ribosomal RNA", at positions 395 to 2141 of the family's 2925-position model. Lineage: Bacteria; Pseudomonadati; Pseudomonadota; Gammaproteobacteria; Enterobacterales; Enterobacteriaceae. The record is from RNAcentral.
UGCUGUGAGCUCGAUGAGUAGGGCGGGACACGUGGUAUCCUGUCUGAAUAUGGGGGGACCAUCCUCCAAGGCUAAAUACUCCUGACUGACCGAUAGUGAACCAGUACCGUGAGGGAAAGGCGAAAAGAACCCCGGCGAGGGGAGUGAAAAAGAACCUGAAACCGUGUACGUACAAGCAGUGGGAGCACCCUUUGGGGUGUGACUGCGUACCUUUUGUAUAAUGGGUCAGCGACUUAUAUUCUGUAGCAAGGUUAACCGAAUAGGGGAGCCGGAGGGAAACCGAGUCUUAAUUGGGCGUUAAGUUGCAGGGUAUAGACCCGAAACCCGGUGAUCUAGCCAUGGGCAGGUUGAAGGUUGGGUAACACUAACUGGAGGACCGAACCGACUAAUGUUGAAAAAUUAGCGGAUGACCUGUGGCUGGGGGUGAAAGGCCAAUCAAACCGGGAGAUAGCUGGUUCUCCCCGAAAGCUAUUUAGGUAGCGCCUCGUGAAUUCAUCUCCGGGGGUAGAGCACUGUUUCGGCUAGGGGGCCAUCCCGGCUUACCAACCCGAUGCAAACUGCGAAUACCGGAGAAUGUUAUCACGGGAGACACACGGCGGGUGCUAACGUCCGUCGUGAAGAGGGAAACAACCCAGACCGCCAGCUAAGGUCCCAAAGUCAUGGUUAAGUGGGAAACGAUGUGGGAAGGCCCAGACAGCCAGGAUGUUGGCUUAGAAGCAGCCAUCAUUUAAAGAAAGCGUAAUAGCUCACUGGUCGAGUCGGCCUGCGCGGAAGAUGUAACGGGGCUAAACCAUGCACCGAAGCUGCGGCAGCGACACUGUGUGUUGUUGGGUAGGGGAGCGUUCUGUAAGCCUGUGAAGGUGUGUCGUGAGGCAUGCUGGAGGUAUCAGAAGUGCGAAUGCUGACAUAAGUAACGAUAAAGCGGGUGAAAAGCCCGCUCGCCGGAAGACCAAGGGUUCCUGUCCAACGUUAAUCGGGGCAGGGUGAGUCGACCCCUAAGGCGAGGCCGAAAGGCGUAGUCGAUGGGAAACGGGUUAAUAUUCCCGUACUUGGUGUUACUGCGAAGGGGGGACGGAGAAGGCUAUGUUGGCCGGGCGACGGUUGUCCCGGUUUAAGCGUGUAGGUGUGUGUUCCAGGUAAAUCCGGUUCACUUUAACACUGAGGCGUGACGACGAGGCACUACGGUGCUGAAGCAACAAAUGCCCUGCUUCCAGGAAAAGCCUCUAAGCAUCAGGUAACAUCAAAUCGUACCCCAAACCGACACAGGUGGUCAGGUAGAGAAUACCAAGGCGCUUGAGAGAACUCGGGUGAAGGAACUAGGCAAAAUGGUGCCGUAACUUCGGGAGAAGGCACGCUGACACGUAGGUGAAGUGAUUUACUCAUGGAGCUGAAGUCAGUCGAAGAUACCAGCUGGCUGCAACUGUUUAUUAAAAACACAGCACUGUGCAAACACGAAAGUGGACGUAUACGGUGUGACGCCUGCCCGGUGCCGGAAGGUUAAUUGAUGGGGUCAGCGCAAGCGAAGCUCCUGAUCGAAGCCCCGGUAAACGGCGGCCGUAACUAUAACGGUCCUAAGGUAGCGAAAUUCCUUGUCGGGUAAGUUCCGACCUGCACGAAUGGCGUAAUGAUGGCCAGGCUGUCUCCACCCGAGACUCAGUGAAAUUGAACUCGCUGUGAAGAUGCAGUGUACCCGCGGCAAGACGGAAAGACCCCGUGAACCUUUACUAUAGCUUGACACUGAACAUUGAGCCUUGAUGUGUAG